RNAcentral lists this ribosomal RNA (433 nucleotides) under uncultured bacterium. Its description in RNAcentral is "partial 16S ribosomal RNA". It matches the Rfam family "Bacterial small subunit ribosomal RNA", at positions 29 to 507 of the family's 1533-position model. The record is from RNAcentral.
AACGAACGCUGGCGGCAUGCCUAACACAUGCAAGUCGAACGAGACCUUCGGGUCUAGUGGCGCACGGGUGCGUCACGCGUGGGAACCUUCCCUUAUGUUCGGAAUAACUCCCCGACAGGGGUGCCAAUACCGGAUAAUGUCUUCGGACCAAAGAUUUAUUGACUUUGGAUGGGCCCGCGUUGGAUUAGCUCGUUGGUAGGGUAAUAGCCUACCAAGGGGACGAUCCAUAGCUGGGUUGAGAGGAUGAUCAGCAACACUGGGACUGAGACACGGCCGAGACUCCUACGGGAGGCAGCAGUGGGGAAUAUUGGACAAUGGGCGAAAGCCUGAUCCAGCAAUGCCGCGAGAGUGAUGAAGGCCGUAGGGUUGUAAAGCUCUUUUAACCGGGAUGAUAAUGACAGUACCGGGAGAAUAAGCCCCGGCUAACUCCGUG